Long non-coding RNA from Physeter macrocephalus (sperm whale), 477 nucleotides. RefSeq lists it as uncharacterized. The record is from RefSeq and is a predicted model, not a curated record. NCBI's taxonomy places the organism in Eukaryota, Metazoa, Chordata, Mammalia, Artiodactyla, Physeteridae. The transcript is spliced from 3 exons.
GAACCGGCUUCUCUCCUGGAAGCACUUUGAAAGGUGAACAAUGCAAGCUGGCCGAUGAGAAAGCAAUCCAAGUGGGUGAUAUCCCUGCCUGAGGUCGCAGCUGUUAGUGGCAGGGUCAGGCACAGGACCCAGGUCUUCUGAAUUCAGUGUUUUCUCAUCUUCCAUGAUGCCAAGCUGACUGGGGCUCCUAUGGCUGAGAGAGACCAGAUCCUAGCAUUCCAGUGGGGUAACACGUGGACUCUUGAGAGAACGGUUUCACGAAUACACUUUCAGUGGUAGUAAGGUCUCAGAUGUGUGUCCUGUACCUUGUACUCCACUUCCUUCCUCCUGGAGUUUCCGGUUAUGAAACUUGCACUCUGUAGGAAGCCUCUCUGGGUUGACUUCUCUCCUUCCAAGAGAUGCAGUGUUGCUUCCCAGUUGAGCACACUGGUUCCCUUACCCACCAUAGGUUUCCUUUUUGAGAAGACGAUACUUUGA